CCUACGGGUGGCAGCAGUGGGGAAUAUUGCGCAAUGGGCGAAAGCCUGACGCAGCGACGCCGCGUGAGGGAUGAAGGUCUUCGGAUUGUAAACCUCUGUCAGCAGGGAAGAACGGUCACUGUGCUAAUCAGCAGUGAAUUGACGGUACCUGCAAAGGAAGCACCGGCUAACUCCGUGCCAGCAGCCGCGGGAAUACGGAGGGUGCGAGCGUUAGUCGGAAUUACUGGGCGUAAAGCGGUCGUAGGCGGUAUGUCAAGUCAAGGGGGAAAUCCCCGAGCUCAACGUAGGAACUGCCUUUGAAACUGGCAAACUGGAGUGUGUGAGAGGAUAGUGGAAUUCCAGGUGUAGGAGUGAAAUCCGUAGAUAUCUGGAGGAACAUCAGUGGCGAAGGCGACUAUCUGGCACAUAACUGACGCUGAGGAGCGAAAGCGUGGGUAGCAAACAGGAUUAGAUACCCUAGUAGUC
RNAcentral lists this ribosomal RNA (465 nucleotides) under uncultured bacterium. Its description in RNAcentral is "partial 16S ribosomal RNA". It matches the Rfam family "Bacterial small subunit ribosomal RNA", at positions 338 to 795 of the family's 1533-position model. The record is from RNAcentral.